UACGGAGGUGACGAGCGUUGUCCGGAAUUACUGGGCGUAAAGCGCACGCAAGCGGUCUGUCAAGUCUGACGUGAAAUCUCUUGGCUUAACUGGGAGCGGUCGUUGGAAACUGAGAGGCUUGAGGCGAUGAGAGGGGUGCAGAAUUCCGGGUGUAGAGGUGGAAUGCGUAGAGAUCAGGAGGAAUACCUGUGGCGAAAGCGGCACCCUGGCGUCGUUCUGACGCUCAGGUGCGAAAGCGUGGGGAGCGAACGGG
Molecule: ribosomal RNA, 253 nt
Filed under: uncultured bacterium
Lineage: Bacteria
Description: partial 16S ribosomal RNA
Rfam family: Bacterial small subunit ribosomal RNA
Source: RNAcentral